This 253-nucleotide ribosomal RNA is filed under the name uncultured bacterium. Its description in RNAcentral is "partial 16S ribosomal RNA". It matches the Rfam family "Bacterial small subunit ribosomal RNA", at positions 524 to 776 of the family's 1533-position model. The record is from RNAcentral.
UACGUAGGGGCCGAGCGUUGUCCGGAGUUACUGGGCGUCAAGCGCGCGCAGGCGGCGCAUCGCGCCCGGCGUGAAAGCCCCCGGCUCAACCGGGGAGGGUCGUCGGGGACGGGUGCGCUUGAGGACGGCAGGGGCAGGUGGAAUUCCCGGUGUAGUGGUGAAAUGCGUAGAGAUCGGGAAGAACACCCGUGGCGAAGGCGGUUCUCUGGGACGGUACUGACGCUGAGACGCGAAAGCGUGGGGAGCGAACAGG